UACACCGGUUCUCGUCCGAUCACCGAAGUUAAGCAGCGUCAGGCUCGGUUAGUACUUGGAUGGGAGACCGCCUGGGAAUACCAAGUGUUGUAGGCU
This 96-nucleotide ribosomal RNA is filed under the name Staphylococcus aureus. Lineage: Bacteria; Bacillati; Bacillota; Bacilli; Caryophanales; Staphylococcaceae. The record is from RNAcentral.